AGAGUUUGAUCCUGGCUCAGGAUGAACGCUGGCGGCGUGCCUAAUACAUGCAAGUCGAGCGAACCCCUUCGGGGGAGAGCGGCGAACGGGUGAGUAACACGUAGGUGAUCUACCCAUUAGUCGGGGAUAACGUUUGGAAACGAACGCUAAUACCGGAUAGGAUGAAAGUUUAAAGAUGCUUUAGGGCAUCGCUAAUGGAU
RNAcentral lists this ribosomal RNA (200 nucleotides) under uncultured bacterium. RNAcentral describes it as "partial 16S ribosomal RNA". It matches the Rfam family "Bacterial small subunit ribosomal RNA", at positions 8 to 226 of the family's 1533-position model. The record is from RNAcentral.